GGACGAACGCUGGCGGCGUGCCUAAUACAUGCAAGUCGAGCGCGGGAAGCGAGCGGAUCCCUUCGGGGUGAAGCUCGUGGAACGAGCGGCGGACGGGUGAGUAACACGUGGGCAACCUGCCUGUAAGAUCGGAAUAACCCCGGGAAACCGGGGCUAAUGCCGGGUAAUACUUUUCUUCGCAUGAAGAUGAGUUGAAAGAUGGCUUCUCGCUAUCACUUACAGAUGGGCCCGCGGCGCAUUAGCUAGUUGGUGAGGUAACGGCUCACCAAGGCAACGAUGCGUAGCCGACCUGAGAGGGUGAUCGGCCACACUGGGACUGAGACACGGCCCAGACUCCUACGGGAGGCAGCAGUAGGGAAUCUUCCGCAAUGGACGAAAGUCUGACGGAGCAACGCCGCGUGAACGAUGAAGGUCUUCGGAUCGUAAAGUUCUGUUGUCAGGGAAGAACAAGUACCGUGCGAAUAGAGCGGUACCUUGACGGUACCUGACGAGGAAGCCCCGGCUAACUAC
This 510-nucleotide ribosomal RNA is filed under the name Halobacillus sp. EMB17. RNAcentral's name for it is "bacterial SSU rRNA". It matches the Rfam family "Bacterial small subunit ribosomal RNA", at positions 27 to 504 of the family's 1533-position model. Lineage: Bacteria; Bacillati; Bacillota; Bacilli; Caryophanales; Bacillaceae. The record is from RNAcentral.